GAUAAGCGCUGAAAGCAUCUAAGCGCGAAGCCAACUUCAAGAUAAGAUUUCCCACCGCAAGGGUAAGACCCCAGAAAGACUAUCUGGUUGAUAGGUCGAAGGUGUAAGUGCAGCAAUGUAUUUAGCUUAUCGAUACUAAUAGGUCGAGGACUUGACCAA
RNAcentral lists this ribosomal RNA (159 nucleotides) under Clostridioides difficile. Its description in RNAcentral is "partial 23S ribosomal RNA". It matches the Rfam family "Bacterial large subunit ribosomal RNA", at positions 2763 to 2925 of the family's 2925-position model. Lineage: Bacteria; Bacillati; Bacillota; Clostridia; Peptostreptococcales; Peptostreptococcaceae. The record is from RNAcentral.